This 67-nucleotide transfer RNA is filed under the name Periphyllus acerihabitans. RNAcentral's name for it is "tRNA-Trp". Lineage: Eukaryota; Metazoa; Arthropoda; Insecta; Hemiptera; Aphididae. The record is from RNAcentral.
AAGAUUUUAAGUUAAAUUUAUAAACUAUUAAUCUUCAAAAUUAAAAAUAAAAUUUUUUUAAAUCUUA